This 574-nucleotide long non-coding RNA is filed under the name Homo sapiens (human). Its description in RNAcentral is "HSALNT0227014". Lineage: Eukaryota; Metazoa; Chordata; Mammalia; Primates; Hominidae. The record is from RNAcentral.
AUGGUGACACGGGGGUGGGAUCCCCGACAAAAUGACCUGGCCUGAUUAUUCUAAACAACACGUGAUUACGAGAAUCACCCUGGGAGAUUUACAUGCCUGUCUGCGCCCCUUCCCCAUCCCCAGAUGGUUGCAUCUAGGUGUCAUCCUCAUUCUCCACACUCUGUUUGAAACCUGCUUUUUCUUGCCGGAGCUUCUCCCUGUAGCUCUCUGUAGUUCUGAAGUUGCGCUGCGCUGUGUCUUGGUGUGGGUCUGUUUCCAGUCAUCGUGUUGGCCACUUGCUGGUCCUUUUCAAUCACAUUCUUCAUUUAGGAAAACGUUUCUUGAAUGGUUGCUCAGCAGUUUCUCCCUUCUGUGUUCUCUCUUCUUUCUGAAACCCUUUAUUAUUUGGAUGCUGGUGAAUUUGCAUGUGAGGGAGGGUGAGGAGGAGACACUGAGGCAGGCAAGGCAUUCUGCAAGCUUUUGCAGAGUUUUCAUGGACACAUUCUGAUUCCCACUGUGUCCAGGUGGGAGUUCUGUACACAUCACAGAUGGAAAAAAGAAACUCUCUGUGGAUUUGGCAGCACCCUGGAUUGGA